Molecule: non-coding RNA, 143 nt
Organism: Psammomys obesus (fat sand rat)
Lineage: Eukaryota; Metazoa; Chordata; Mammalia; Rodentia; Muridae
Product: small Cajal body-specific RNA 3
Exons: 1
Source: RefSeq, a predicted model, not a curated record
UAUGGAAGCUGCAGAACCAGCCAUGCAGGCAAAUGAGAAAAAAAAAUCUUUUGUCUGUAGAAAGCAACAAUCUUACAUAAACAUGGAAAUCUUCCUCUGACUUAGGACAGCUGGCUAAGUUUGAUUGUUCCCCUCCAUGCAAC